GAGGACUUAGCUUAAUUAAAGUAAUUGGUUUGCGUUCAGUUGAUGUAAGAUAUAAUCUUGCAGUCCUUA
This 69-nucleotide transfer RNA is filed under the name Aepyceros melampus (impala). Its description in RNAcentral is "tRNA-Ala". It matches the Rfam family "tRNA". Rfam says of the family: Transfer RNA (tRNA) molecules are approximately 80 nucleotides in length. Their secondary structure includes four short double-helical elements and three loops (D, anti-codon, and T loops). The record is from RNAcentral. Lineage: Eukaryota; Metazoa; Chordata; Mammalia; Artiodactyla; Bovidae.